RNAcentral lists this ribosomal RNA (532 nucleotides) under uncultured bacterium. Its description in RNAcentral is "bacterial SSU rRNA". It matches the Rfam family "Bacterial small subunit ribosomal RNA", at positions 533 to 1074 of the family's 1533-position model. The record is from RNAcentral.
AACAAGCGUUAUCCGGAAUCAUUGGGCGUAAAGCGUCCGCAGGUGGCUGUUCAAGUCUGCUGUUAAAGACAGAAGCUCAACUUCUGAAAAGCAGUGGAAACUGGACGGCUAGAGUACGGUAGGGGUUGAGGGAAUUCCCAGUGUAGCGGUGAAAUGCGUAGAUAUUGGGAAGAACACCAGUGGCGAAGGCGCUCAACUGGGCCGUAACUGACACUCAGGGACGAAAGCUAGGGUAGCGAAAGGGAUUAGAUACCCCUGUAGUCUUAGCUGUAAACGAUAACACUAGGCGUUGCUUGUAUCGACCCGAGCAGUGCCGUACCAACGCGUUAAGUGUUCCGCCUGGGGAGUACGCACGCAAGUGUGAAACUCAAAGGAAUUGACGGGGGCCCGCACAAGCGGUGGAGUAUGUGGUUUAAUUCGAUGCAACGCGAAGAACCUUACCAGGACUUGACAUCUCGAGAACUGAACCUAAUAGUUCAGGUGCCUUAGGGAACUCGAAGACAGGUGGUGCGUCAGCUCGUGUAUGGCUGUC